UGUACAAGUUGAAUCUCUCGAGGCCCCUAACCCAACUGGAAUCGCAAAGGCCCAAAAUAUUGUUAUUCGGCCUCCGGCAAAUACAAAUAGAGACCAGGUGAAAUCUCAUAAGUCCUCUACUGCCGAAUGGCCACCGACCGAAACGGAAAGAGAGCGACCUCAUAAGAAAAUCAUAAUUAAGCGGCCAAAAGAAAUUAUUGAUACAGAUCAGAUCAGUCAGGAUGGAGGCACCGAACUUCAGCAUAGGAAGACUAAAAGGAUAGUUGAAUUGUCAAGUUUUGAAAAACAUAGAAAGCAGGAGAAUGUGUAUUUGGCUGACCAGGCAGCUAAGAAGAAAGCUAAAGAUGAUAGGAGACAGUAGGAGGAGCAAGAGAAGUGGAGAAGUGAAGAGAGAAGGAGAGAAGAGAGGGCAAGGAAGCUUAGUAAGGAGGAAAUGCGGAUGUUUGAAGAGAAAGAAAGAUUAGCAGAGCUCAGAAGAUAUGAAGCUUCAAUUAGAAGAGAGAGGGAAGAAGAAGAACGCCAAAAGGAAAAGAAGAAGAAAAAGAAGAAAAGGCCUGAGAUACGAGAUGAGUAUAUAGAGGACGCUAGAGCAAGAAGAUAUGAAAAAAAGAGUGGCAGAAAGGGAUCGAAGUCCAAAAAGAAGGCCUGUUGUUGAGUGGGAAGGGUAGGUGCUGACAAUGGCCCAACAACAAAGCGUCGUAGAGGAGGAGUAGAGGUUGGUUUGUCUAACAUCUUGGAGGGCAUUGUAGAGACCCUAAAAGAUCGAUAUGAAGUAUCAUAUCUUUUCUUAAAACCAGUAUCCAAAAAAGAAGCACCUGAUUACCCGGACAUCAUAGAACGACCAAUGGAUCUGUCCACCAUCAGAGAGAAGGUGAGGAAAAUGGAAUACAAAAGCCGGGAACAAUUCAGGCAUGAUGUGUGGCAGAUCACCUAUAACGCCCACAAAUAUAAUGAUGGACGUAACCCAUGUAUACCUCCCCUUGCCGAUCAACUUUUGGAGCUGUGCGACUGUAUGUUAAAUGGGAACGAUGAGAAUUUGACUAAAGCAGAAGCACGCAUUGAAUCUCGAGAUAUUUGAGAAAUUUUGAGUGAUAAUAUGAGAUCUAUUAUUUCAUAGAAUGCCCCAAUAGUUAACUUAUUUCACUAGCAGCGCAAGGUUUUGAUUGCGUUUAAUGUAAAAAUCAUGCAAAAGCCGAGUCCAACUCACGAUCUAUGUAAAGAAUGUUGCAAUAUCCCUUAUUUGUAUAUUUGUAAAUACUGUAUGAGUUCUUUGAUGACUGGCUCCAAAGUUGGAUUAAUAGAAAAUCAUCAAUAUAUAUGAUGAAAGGAUUAUAUCAUUUAUAA
Long non-coding RNA from Ziziphus jujuba (common jujube), 1344 nucleotides. RefSeq lists it as uncharacterized. The record is from RefSeq and is a predicted model, not a curated record. The transcript has 2 exons. Lineage: Eukaryota; Viridiplantae; Streptophyta; Magnoliopsida; Rosales; Rhamnaceae.